This 406-nucleotide ribosomal RNA is filed under the name uncultured bacterium. Its description in RNAcentral is "partial 16S ribosomal RNA". It matches the Rfam family "Bacterial small subunit ribosomal RNA", at positions 30 to 526 of the family's 1533-position model. The record is from RNAcentral.
AUUGAACGCUGGCGGCAGGCCUAACACAUGCAAGUCGAACGAGUGGCGCACGGGUGAGUAAUGUCUGGGAAACUGCCUGAGGGAGGGGGAUCACUACUGGAAACGGUAGCUAAUACCGCAUACCAUCGGAUGUCCCCAGAUGGGAAUAGCUAGUAGGUGGGGUAAAGGCUCACCUAGGCGACGAUCCCUAGCUGGUCUGAGAGGAUGACCAGCCACACUGGGACUGAGACACGGUCCAGACUCCUACGGGAGGCAGCAGUGGGGAAUAUUGCACAAUGGGCGCAAGCCUGAUGCAGCCAUGCCGCGUGUAUGAAGAAGGCCUGCGGGUUGUAAAGUACUUUCAGCGGGGAGGCGUUACCCGCAGAAGAAGCACCGGCUAACUCCGUGCCAGCAGCCGCGGUAAUUC